Molecule: long non-coding RNA, 742 nt
Filed under: Homo sapiens (human)
Lineage: Eukaryota; Metazoa; Chordata; Mammalia; Primates; Hominidae
Description: HSALNT0221852
Source: RNAcentral
GUUUCACCAUGUUGGUCAGGCUGGUCUCGAACUCCUGACCUCAUGAUCUACCCGCUUUGGCCUCCCAAAGUGCUGGGAUUAUAGGUGUAAGCCACAGCGCCCAGCCAGGGCCCAUGUUUUUAAAUUUUUUAAGGAGCUUGUUGAGGUCUGCAAAAGCUUCUGCUAAACCUUUCACUGUGAAUUUUCUUGGAGGUUCUUCCUUUUUGUCUCCUGCAGUUUCCUUUUCUCUUGCACCUUCUUCAGCUGCGUGUUCCUGUUCCAGUUCCAACAGCUCAUUAGUCAAUUCCUCAGGAACCACAUCUAGGAGCUUCUCAAUGUCAUCCUCAUCUACAUCUAGGUUAAAGUUGUUUGCCAUGUCAACCACAGCCUUGUCCAUUUCUGCAACCUCUUCAUCCUUAGCAGAUUCUUUGAAGUCAUGAACAAACUUCUUCAGUGUCUUCUAGAUGUCAUUCACAUACUCCUUGGUGACAUCAGUCCAUGCCCAAGCAAGGUUCUUGAUGCAGUCAUAGCUGUUGUAAACCUUCCAGAAUUGCAUCAGUGUCCUCUCGGUGUUUUUCAGUUGCAGCAAUAGCCUGGGCAAAGAUCCUCCUUAGGAUCUUUUAAUAGGCCUUAAAAACUGCUACAACUCCUUGAUUCAUUGGUUGGAUCAAAGAGGUGGUAUAUGGAAGGAGACACAACACUUUGAUAUUGGGAUGAAGAUCACCAAUGAAAUGAGGAUGUGUGGGAGCAUUAUCAACAAAAA